GAUGAACGCUGGCGGCGUGCCUAAUACAUGCAAGUCGAGCGAACAGACGAGGAGCUUGCUCCUCUGACGUUAGCGGCGGACGGGUGAGUAACACGUGGAUAACCUACCUAUAAGACUGGGAUAACUUCGGGAAACCGGAGCUAAUACCGGAUAAUAUAUUGAACCGCAUGGUUCAAUAGUGAAAGACGGUUUUGCUGUCACUUAUAGAUGGAUCCGCGCCGCAUUAGCUAGUUGGUAAGGUAACGGCUUACCAAGGCAACGAUGCGUAGCCGACCUGAGAGGGUGAUCGGCCACACUGAAACUGAGACACGGUCAAGACUCCUACGGGAGGCAGCAGUAGGGAAUCUUCCGCAAUGGGCGAAAGCCUGACGGAGCAACGCCGCGUGAGUGAUGAAGGUCUUCGGAUCGUAAAACUCUGUUAUUAGGGAAGAACAAAUGUGUAAGUAACUAUGCACGUCUUGACGGUACCUAAUCAGAAAGCCACGGCUAACUACGUG
RNAcentral lists this ribosomal RNA (497 nucleotides) under uncultured bacterium. RNAcentral describes it as "partial 16S ribosomal RNA". It matches the Rfam family "Bacterial small subunit ribosomal RNA", at positions 28 to 507 of the family's 1533-position model. The record is from RNAcentral.